This 449-nucleotide long non-coding RNA is filed under the name Piliocolobus tephrosceles (Ugandan red Colobus). RNAcentral's name for it is "lncRNA (ENSPTEG00000022645.1)". The record is from RNAcentral. Lineage: Eukaryota; Metazoa; Chordata; Mammalia; Primates; Cercopithecidae.
UAGAGAAAAGGUGAAAAGGCAGCAGAGUGAGCCAGCUGUCCUCUCUCUCCUCUUUUUCCUGCCCCCGAUGACUUGCAUUUUCUCUGAGACAGCUGUCAUUCUGGUCUCCCAGCCAUUCUUAGCAAGAGACGUGCCUGGCUCCGGGAAGGGGCAACUUCUCUGCAUGUCAGAGUUAAGUAAUGAAGAAAAAGCUCAAGAAGUGUCCUGAACAGCAGCAGCUGUGGGUGGGGAAUGUUGAAUGUCUGGGAGACUGAGAGCUGGUCCAAUUUUUGAAUGAAGACUUCUGUGCUAAAGAGGAUCUAAGGUUUGUUGGAGGAGCAUGGCCCUGGUACAACACUUUGUCCUUUCCCAAGUAGGUCCUUCACAGAGGAUUUAAGCAAUAGAGUAUUUUGUUUUAAAUUCUGAGCUAAUUUAUUUUUUAAAAUUUGUAUUUCAGUAGCUUUAGGGGU